CGCCUGUUUAACAAAAACAUCUCUUCUCGUUCAGUCUUUGAGUAUGGCCUGCCCACUGAUUUUUUUAUGAAGGGCCGCGGUAUUUUGACCGUGCAAAGGUAGCAUAAUCAUUAGUUCUUUAAUUGUGAUCUGGUAUGAAUGGCUUGACGAGGCAUGGGCUGUCUUAGAGUUUUGGAUUGUUUUAUUGAACUUGGUUUUUGAGUUAGAAUUCUUAGAUGUUUUUAUGGGACGAGAAGACCCUAUAGAGUUUGACAUAUGUUAUAGUUUUGUUUGGUUUGUUAUGUUAGUUCUUUUAUUGUUUGUUUUGUUGGGGUGAUGGGAGGAAUUUUUUUAACUCUUCUUUAUUUUGGUAUAUUUAUUUAUGUUUGUUUUGAUCCAUUUAUUAUUGAUUAUAAGAUUAAAUUACCUUAGGGAUAACAGCGUAA
RNAcentral lists this ribosomal RNA (425 nucleotides) under Macrotermes barneyi. RNAcentral describes it as "partial 16S ribosomal RNA". The record is from RNAcentral. Lineage: Eukaryota; Metazoa; Arthropoda; Insecta; Blattodea; Termitidae.